Molecule: ribosomal RNA, 643 nt
Filed under: Wolbachia endosymbiont of Phlebotomus perniciosus
Lineage: Bacteria; Pseudomonadati; Pseudomonadota; Alphaproteobacteria; Rickettsiales; Anaplasmataceae
Description: bacterial SSU rRNA
Rfam family: Bacterial small subunit ribosomal RNA
Source: RNAcentral
UGCUAUUAGAUGAGUCUACAUCAGAUCAGCUAGCUGGUGGAGUAAUAGCCUACCAAGACAAUGAUCUAUAGCUGAUCUGAGAGGAUGAUCAGUUACACUGGAACUGAAGUACGGUCCAGACUCCUACGGGAGGCAGCAGUGGGGAAUAUUGGACAAUGGGCGAAAGCCUGAUCCAGCCAUGCCGCAUGAGUGAAGAAGGCCUUUGGGUUGUAAAGCUCUUUUAGUGAGGAAGAUAAUGACGGUACUCACAGAAGAAGUCCUGGCUAACUCCGUGCCAGCAGCCGCGGUAAUACGGAGGGGGCUAGCGUUAUUCGGAAUUAUUGGGCGUAAAGGGCGCGUAGGCUGGUUAAUAAGUUAAAAGUGAAAUCCCGAGGCUUAACCUUGGAAUUGCUUUUAAAACUAUUAAUCUAGAGAUUGAAAGAGGAUAGAGGAAUUCCUGAUGUAGAGGUAAAAUUCGUAAAUAUUAGGAGGAACACCAGUGGCGAAGGCGUCUAUCUGGUUCAAAUCUGACGCUGAAGCGCGAAGGCGUGGGGAGCAAACAGGAUUAGAUACCCUGGUAGUCCACGCUGUAAACGAUGAAUGUACAAUAUAGGAAGCUUACUUUCUGUGUUACAGCUAACGCGUUAAACAUUCCGCUUGGGGA